RNAcentral lists this microRNA precursor (126 nucleotides) under Mus spretus (western wild mouse). RNAcentral describes it as "predicted gene, 55808 (ENSMSPG00010024698.1)". Lineage: Eukaryota; Metazoa; Chordata; Mammalia; Rodentia; Muridae. The record is from RNAcentral.
GAUUUCUCUGUGUAGCCUUGGCUGUCCUGGAACUCACUCUGUAGACCAGGCUGGCCUUGAACUCAGAAAUCCACCUGCCUCUGCCUCCCAAGUGCUGGGAUUAAAGGCGUGCGCCACCACUGCCUG